Molecule: ribosomal RNA, 497 nt
Filed under: uncultured bacterium
Lineage: Bacteria
Description: partial 16S ribosomal RNA
Rfam family: Bacterial small subunit ribosomal RNA
Source: RNAcentral
GAUGAACGCUGGCGGCGUGCCUAAUACAUGCAAGUCGAGCGAACGGACGAGAAGCUUGCUUCUCUUAUGUUAGCGGCGGACGGGUGAGUAACACGUGGAUAACCUACCUAUAAGACUGGGAUAACUUCGGGAAACCGUAGCUAAUACCGGAUAAUAUUUUGAACCGCAUGGUUCAAAAGUGAAAGACGGUCUUGCUGUCACUUAUAGAUGGAUCCGCGCUGCAUUAGCUAGUUGGUAAGGUAACGGCUUACCAAGGCAACGAAGCAUAGCCGACCUGAGAGGGUGAUCGGCCACACUGGAACUGGGACACGGUCCAGACUCCUACGGGAGGCAGCAGUAGGGAAUCUUCCGCAAUGGGCGAAAGCCUGACGGAGCAACGCCGCGUGAGUGAUGAAGGUCUUCGGAUCGUAAAACUCUGUUAUUAGGGAAGAACAUAUGUGUAAGUAACUGUGCACAACUUGACGGUACCUAAUCAGAAAGCCACGGCUAACUACGUG